Molecule: non-coding RNA, 32 nt
Filed under: Rattus norvegicus (Norway rat)
Lineage: Eukaryota; Metazoa; Chordata; Mammalia; Rodentia; Muridae
Source: RNAcentral
UGCACAGAUGCACACAUGAUAUGUGUCACACC